UACGUAGGUGACCAGCGUUGUCCGGAUUUACUGGGCGUAAAGAGCGCGCAGGCGGUCGUUCAAGUCGAGUGUGAAAGCCCCCGGCUCAACUGGGGAGGGUCAUUCGAUACUGAUCGACUUGAAGGCAGGAGAGGGAAGUGGAAUUCCCGGUGUAGUGGUGAAAUGCGUAGAUAUCGGGAGGAACACCUGUGGCGAAAGCGGCUCACUGGACCACAACUGACGCUGAGGCGCGAAAGCUAGGGGAGCAAACAGG
RNAcentral lists this ribosomal RNA (253 nucleotides) under uncultured bacterium. RNAcentral's name for it is "partial 16S ribosomal RNA". It matches the Rfam family "Bacterial small subunit ribosomal RNA", at positions 524 to 776 of the family's 1533-position model. The record is from RNAcentral.